This 275-nucleotide ribosomal RNA is filed under the name uncultured bacterium. Its description in RNAcentral is "partial 16S ribosomal RNA". It matches the Rfam family "Bacterial small subunit ribosomal RNA", at positions 333 to 605 of the family's 1533-position model. The record is from RNAcentral.
CUGGUCCUACGGGGCGCAGCAGUGAGGAAUAUUGGUCAAUGGGCGGUAGCCUGAACCAGCCACGUAGCGUGAAGGAUGAAGGUUCUAUGGAUUGUAAACUUCUUUUAUAAAGGAAUAAAGUGAGGCACGUGUGCCUUUUUGUAUGCACUAUAUGAAUAAGGAUCGGCUAACUCCGUGCCAGCAGCCGCGGUAAUACGUAGGAUCCGAGCGUUAUCCGGAUUUAUUGGGUUUAAAGGGAGCGUAGAUGGGUUGUUAAGUCAGUUGUGAGAGUUUGC